AGUAGCCAAGCCCGGAAGGGAUAAACGCUGAAGGCAUCUAAGCGUGAAGCCCCCCUUAAGAUGAGAUAUCCCAUUCGUUAAGAAGUAAACCCCCUUGAAGACGACGAGGUAGAUAGGGCAGAGGUGGAAGUGUGGCAACACAUGGAGCUGACUGUUACUAAUCGGGUGAGGGCUUGACCAAGAA
This 184-nucleotide ribosomal RNA is filed under the name Blautia wexlerae. RNAcentral's name for it is "partial 23S ribosomal RNA". It matches the Rfam family "Bacterial large subunit ribosomal RNA", at positions 2744 to 2925 of the family's 2925-position model. The record is from RNAcentral. Lineage: Bacteria; Bacillati; Bacillota; Clostridia; Lachnospirales; Lachnospiraceae.